UACGGAGGAUCCAAGCGUUAUCCGGAUUUAUUGGGCGUAAAGCGAGCGCAGACGGUUAUUUAAGUCUGAAGUGAAAGCCCUCAGCUCAACUGAGGAAUGGCUUUGGAAACUGGAUGACUUGAGUGCAGUAGAGGAAAGUGGAACUCCAUGUGUAGCGGUGAAAUGCUUAGAUAUCACGAAGAACUCCAAUUGCGAAGGCAGCUCACUGGGGUACAACUGACACUGAGGCGCGAAAGCGUGGGGAGCAAACAGG
This 253-nucleotide ribosomal RNA is filed under the name uncultured bacterium. RNAcentral describes it as "partial 16S ribosomal RNA". It matches the Rfam family "Bacterial small subunit ribosomal RNA", at positions 524 to 776 of the family's 1533-position model. The record is from RNAcentral.